RNAcentral lists this ribosomal RNA (404 nucleotides) under uncultured bacterium. RNAcentral describes it as "partial 16S ribosomal RNA". It matches the Rfam family "Bacterial small subunit ribosomal RNA", at positions 28 to 525 of the family's 1533-position model. The record is from RNAcentral.
GAUGAACGCUGGCGGCGUGCCUAAUACAUGCAAGUCGAGCGAAGCGGGGACGGGUGAGUAACACGUGGAUAACCUCCUAUAUGACUGGGGUAACCUCGGGAAACCGGAGCUAAACCGGAUUCUUAUAGAUGGAUCCGCGCUGUAUUAGCUAGUUGGUAAGGUAACGGCUUACCAAGGCAACGAUGCAUAGCAGACCGGGGGGGGGGAUCGGCCACACGGGAACUGGAACAGGGCCCAGACCCCUAGGGAAGGCAGCAGUGGGGAAACUUCCGCAAUGGGCGAAGGCCUGACGGGGCAAGGCGGGGGGAGGAAGGAAGGUCUUGGGUUCGAAAAACUCUGUUAUUAGGAAAACGGUACCUAAGCAGAAAGCCACGGCUAACUACGUGCCAGCGGCGGCGGAAAUU